Molecule: ribosomal RNA, 520 nt
Filed under: uncultured Ascogregarina
Lineage: Eukaryota; Apicomplexa; Conoidasida
Description: eukaryotic LSU rRNA
Rfam family: Eukaryotic large subunit ribosomal RNA
Source: RNAcentral
UUAGUAACGGCGAGUGAACAAGGAAGAGCUCAAAUUGAAAAUCAACGGUUAUCCGUAGAAUUGUAGUCUUUUGAAAUAACGCCAGUGGUUGCUUCGAAACAAGUCUCUUGGAAUAGAGUACCAAAGAGGGUGAAAGUCCCGUCUUUUUCGAAGUCAAUUACAAUCGGUUAACUUUCAUAGAGUCGCGUUUCUUGCAAUUGAAGCGCUAAGUGGGUGAUAAACUUCAUCUAAAGCUAAAUAUUAGCAAGAGUCCGAUAGAGAACAAGUACCGUGAGGGAAAGAUGAAAAGAACUCUGAAAAGAGAGUUAAGAGGAACUGAAAUUGCCAAGAGGAAAGUGGAGUGAUGAGGCAGUAUGUUGUGAAAUUGCUAUUUGAGUAUCAAAUCUCGGUGGCCGUUUCUGACUUACCUUUGGAAACAAUGUGUAAAAGGCGCCGCUUGCUAGUGCAACUGGAUCUUUUAGGUUCACUGCUUAGUAAGUGAGUCUUUAUCAUAUUGUAAACCUCGCUUAGUUCUACUAUG